RNAcentral lists this ribosomal RNA (270 nucleotides) under uncultured prokaryote. RNAcentral's name for it is "partial 16S ribosomal RNA". It matches the Rfam family "Bacterial small subunit ribosomal RNA", at positions 524 to 792 of the family's 1533-position model. The record is from RNAcentral.
UACGUAGGGUGCGAGCGUUGUCCGGAAUUACUGGGCGUAAAGAGCUCGUAGGUGGUUUGUCGCGUCGCCUGUGAAAUUCCGGGGCUUAACUUCGGGCGUGCAGGCGAUACGGGCAAUACUUGAGUGCAGAAGAGGGUAGUGGAAUUCCAUGUGUAGCGGUGAAAUGCGUAGAGAUAUGGAGGAACACCAGUGGCGAAGGCGGCUUCCUGGCACAAGACUGACGCUCAUGUGCGAAAGCUAGGGUAGCGAACGGGAUUAGAUACCCCGGUA